RNAcentral lists this ribosomal RNA (1044 nucleotides) under Bacillus sp. (in: firmicutes). RNAcentral describes it as "bacterial SSU rRNA". It matches the Rfam family "Bacterial small subunit ribosomal RNA", at positions 58 to 1087 of the family's 1533-position model. The record is from RNAcentral. Lineage: Bacteria; Bacillati; Bacillota; Bacilli; Caryophanales; Bacillaceae.
CAAGUCGAGCGGACAGAUGGGAGCUUGCUCCCUGAUGUUAGCGGCGGACGGGUGAGUAACACGUGGGUAACCUGCCUGUAAGACUGGGAUAACUCCGGGAAACCGGGGCUAAUACCGGAUGCUUGAUUGAACCGCAUGGUUCAAUUAUAAAAGGUGGCUUUUAGCUACCACUUACAGAUGGACCCGCGGCGCAUUAGCUAGUUGGUGAGGUAACGGCUCACCAAGGCAACGAUGCGUAGCCGACCUGAGAGGGUGAUCGGCCACACUGGGACUGAGACACGGCCCAGACUCCUACGGGAGGCAGCAGUAGGGAAUCUUCCGCAAUGGACGAAAGUCUGACGGAGCAACGCCGCGUGAGUGAUGAAGGUUUUCGGAUCGUAAAACUCUGUUGUUAGGGAAGAACAAGUACCGUUCGAAUAGGGCGGUACCUUGACGGUACCUAACCAGAAAGCCACGGCUAACUACGUGCCAGCAGCCGCGGUAAUACGUAGGUGGCAAGCGUUGUCCGGAAUUAUUGGGCGUAAAGCGCGCGCAGGCGGUUUCUUAAGUCUGAUGUGAAAGCCCCCGGCUCAACCGGGGAGGGUCAUUGGAAACUGGGGAACUUGAGUGCAGAAGAGGAGAGUGGAAUUCCACGUGUAGCGGUGAAAUGCGUAGAGAUGUGGAGGAACACCAGUGGCGAAGGCGACUCUCUGGUCUGUAACUGACGCUGAGGCGCGAAAGCGUGGGGAGCGAACAGGAUUAGAUACCCUGGUAGUCCACGCCGUAAACGAUGAGUGCUAAGUGUUAGAGGGUUUCCGCCCUUUAGUGCUGCAGCAAACGCAUUAAGCACUCCGCCUGGGGAGUACGGUCGCAAGACUGAAACUCAAAGGAAUUGACGGGGGCCCGCACAAGCGGUGGAGCAUGUGGUUUUAUUCGAAGCAACGCGAAGAACCUUACCAGGUCUUGACAUCCUCUGACAACCCUAGAGAUAGGCUUUCCCCUUCGGGGCAGAGUGACAGGUGGUGCAUGGUUGUCGUCAGCUCGUGUCGUGAGAUGUGGUAGUCC